This 235-nucleotide ribosomal RNA is filed under the name uncultured bacterium. RNAcentral describes it as "partial 16S ribosomal RNA". It matches the Rfam family "Bacterial small subunit ribosomal RNA", at positions 96 to 334 of the family's 1533-position model. The record is from RNAcentral.
UGGCGGACGGGUGAGUAAUGUCUGGGAAACUGCCCGAUGGAGGGGGAUAACUACUGGAAACGGUAGCUAAUACCGCAUAACGUCGCAAGACCAAAGAGGGGGACCUUAGGGCCUCUUGCCAUCGGAUGUGCCCAGAUGGGAUUAGUUAGUAGGUGGGGUAACGGCUCACCUAGGCGACGAUCCCUAGCUGGUCUGAGAGGAUGACCAGCCACACUGGAACUGAGACACGGUCCAG